Long non-coding RNA from Mastomys coucha (southern multimammate mouse), 1074 nucleotides. RefSeq lists it as uncharacterized. The record is from RefSeq and is a predicted model, not a curated record. NCBI's taxonomy places the organism in Eukaryota, Metazoa, Chordata, Mammalia, Rodentia, Muridae. The transcript is spliced from 2 exons.
UUUUUUUCCAGCUGAAGCCUCCUAGACUAAGAUUUUCUUCCCCUGAGGUGUCUCUGAGUUUCUGAGUGUCACAUGUGGCCUGGCUAUCUGUACUUCCCCAAGAAGACUGAAUCAAAUGUCUCGUUGGUUUUUAAAUCCCUUUGGCCAGACCAAUCUCCAGGGACCUGAUUAAGCUCUAAUGUAGGAGCUCCUCCUCUGAUGAUUCAGCUAAGAACUACGGAUGUCAACACUAAGCAAAGCUGGUGACCCUCCUUGAUGUGUCUUGGCCUCCAUUUUACCUGAGGCUUCAAGAGCAAAGCUGAGCUUCCUGGAAUAAAAGCCACUCUCUCUCGGGACAGCUGCUUCAGCAUCUUCUAGGUUCCAGCUUCCUACCUGCCAGGAGCUCUGGAUGCCAGUCCUGUGGCCAGGAAAGCCAGUUCUUUAUAAUCAACCUCUGGAUGCCAGUCCUGUGGCCAGGAAAGCCAGUUCUUUAUAAUCAACCUCUGGAUGCCAGUCCCGUGGCCAGGAAAGCCAGGAAAGCCAGUUCUUUAUAAUCAACCUCUGGAUGCCAGUCCCGUGGCCAGGAAAGCCAGUUCUUUAUAAUCAACCUCUGGAUACCAGUCCAGUGGCCAGGAAAGCCAGUUCUUUAUGAUCAACCUCUGGAUGCCAGUCCAGUGGCCAGGAAAGCCAGUUCUUUAUGAUCAACCUCUGUAUACCAGUCCCGUGGCCAGGAAAGCCAGCUCUUUAUAAUCAACCUCUGUUUGCUUCCAUGGAGAAUACCCAGACUUUUCAACUUUCAGUGGAGUCACCAGGACAGACUCCUAGUCCUGAAUAAGCCAACAAGCCCCUGGUCUGUUUCCUGUGACACAAGCUGUUCUUCUCUCCACACACACCAUGUGUGGUCUGUUCGUUAUGGUGUCACGAUAGUCCUGUCUCCUCCAUAGUGCCUUUCUGAACCCACUCUUUGACACGGAUCCCAGAAGAUCAUUUGGCCACAGUAGAUUCUCACCUGAUGCCUGUGUCUUUGUACAGCUGACCCCAUUUUUCACUUUUUGUUUUCCCAGUGUGGGAUCUCAUAUACAGAGAAUGCCUUUC